Molecule: unclassified non-coding RNA, 750 nt
Filed under: Hevea brasiliensis (rubber tree)
Lineage: Eukaryota; Viridiplantae; Streptophyta; Magnoliopsida; Malpighiales; Euphorbiaceae
Source: RNAcentral
GUUUAUUUGGGAGAAAGAGACCAAAAUGUUGCUCAAUUCCUGCUUCUUUUAGGUUCUCAUCGAACAUUGAGAACAAGUAUGUCUCCGCGGCCUGUCCUGACUUCUUGGGAGUCCCUUGCUUUACAUGAUUGAUCAAGUUUCUAUAGUAGGUGCCUGCAUUAUUAACUUUUGCUACAUCGCCACCUUCAGAUGGCCAACCACUCUCUGAUACAACAAUUUGCAAAUUGGGGCUGCCUGCUUUCUCAAGAGCAGAAUAAAGAGAAUCCAACAAUGCAUCAAACAGAUUUUGAUAUCCAUAUUGACCAUCCGUAACCACAAUUCCUGGUUCAGUAAACAAGGCAUAUUCAAGACUGAUACUUUGUGGGUCAUUAGUAUAGCUAAAAUAAGGGUAUAUAUUUGCAAGAAGUGGUGCUCCAUUUGUGGCUAUGAAGUUGAUUUGCAGUUUCACUAAAUGAGUCAUUUGAUGGAGGGUAUGAUAUGCCCAACAAAGUUGUGUCUAUUGCUGUGGAAACCUUAAUUUGGUCUUGUAAAUUGGCUGCUACUAUUGCAUUAUGAACAUUCUGCAUCGCUGGUAAAACAUACUUUGCAUUUGCGUCUCCAGGAUGCACUUCAUUUCCUACAGCAAUGUAGCGGAAUUUGACAUCAGAUGCAUAGGCUACAACGUGUUUUGGACCCAAGUUGUUGCAGCUGAGGCAUCAGCAAGGUCUUGAAAUUUGUCAUUGGAAACACCAAGGAUGAGUUCUAUGCUUG